GAUCAUUGGCUCAGGACGAACGCUGGCGGCGUGCCUAAUACAUGCAAGUAGAACGCUGAAGGAGGAGCUUGCUUCUCUGGAUGAGUUGCGAACGGGUGAGUAACGCGUAGGUAACCUGCCUGGUAGCGGGGGAUAACUAUUGGAAACGAUAGCUAAUACCGCAUAAUAGUAGAUGUUGCAUGACAUUUGCUUAAAAGGUGCAAUUGCAUCACUACCAGAUGG
This 222-nucleotide ribosomal RNA is filed under the name uncultured bacterium. Its description in RNAcentral is "partial 16S ribosomal RNA". It matches the Rfam family "Bacterial small subunit ribosomal RNA", at positions 15 to 228 of the family's 1533-position model. The record is from RNAcentral.